Molecule: long non-coding RNA, 1562 nt
Filed under: Anser brachyrhynchus (Pink-footed goose)
Lineage: Eukaryota; Metazoa; Chordata; Aves; Anseriformes; Anatidae
Description: lncRNA (ENSABRG00000013500.1)
Source: RNAcentral
ACCCCCCACCCCCCCCAGAAGCACUCGCUGAGCUGUUUGCCUUCAGCAAGCCCUGAAAUCAGCCCAGAGGAAGGCCGCCACCCGGUGUCCUGCCUCGCGUUUGUCCGUUUUAGGGUGGUUUUUGUGGUUUUUUUUGUUAUUUUUUUUCGUGAUCGCCCCGCAGGAAAACCCUCUCGUGGUGCCCAGCCGUGUGUCGCGGGAGGGGGGGCUCCGGGCCCUUAACGGGGGCACAGAGCCGUGUCGGUGGGCGCAGAGGGGAGGAUUUGGCCACCUUCGGGUUCUCCUGCGGGAUUGGGGGGGGGGUCCGGACCCCCAUUUUUGGGCGUCUCCGACGGCGCCAGGGUUAUCCCAAGGGCUUGGCUGCUGGGUUGGCUCCGCAGACGGUCCCCCGGGCUAACCGGGACACGGUUCCGGAUCGGUCCCCGAGGCGUUCGGGGAGGAAAACGGGGCUGCUCUGCUCCGUCUGUGCCUGCCCUAAACCACCCCGACCCCCCCCCAACGGGCCGUAGCUUCCCUAGCCCCCCCCUUCCUCGUGCCAUCCUGCGCGGCGCUGGGGCAGGGAGCCGGGGCCGGGGGCGCUCAGCUCCGUUCUUCCCUUCCAGUGAUCAACAAAUACAAGCGGCGGCGCUUCCAGAAGACCAAGAACCUCCUGACGGGCGAGACGGAGGCCGACCCGGAGAUGAUCAAGGUAGGGGGCUGCUUCCUCGCUUUUUUUUACCCCCCCUCAACCCCCGUGGGCUUCGCCCCGGCGCCCUCCCGCUGAGCGGGGCGCCGCCGGGCGGCCGCCUUCUCCUCGCAGAGGGCGGAGGAUUACGGCCCCGUGGAGGUGAUCUCGCACUGGCACCCCAACCUGACCAUCAACAUGGUGGACGACCACACGCCCUGGGUGAAGGGCAGCGUCCCGCCGCCCCUGGACCAGUACGUGAAGUUCGACGCCAUCAGCGGCGACUACUACCCCAUCCUCUACUUCAACGACUACUGGAACCUGCAGAAGGAUUACUUCCCCAUCAACGAGACCCUGCAGCGCCUGCCCUUCCGCCUCUCCUUCUGCCCGCUCUCCCUGUGGCGCUGGCAGCUCUACGCCGCCCAGAGCACCAAGUCGCCCUGGAAUUUCCUCGGGGAGGACCUCUACGAGCAGUCGGACGAGGAGCAGGACUCGGUGAAGGUGAGAGCCGGCCUCGGGCCGCCCCGCUCCCCGCCACGCUGUCCCUGCUCGUGGCCCGGCACCCCGGCUCCUUGCCCCGCGCGCGCGCGGCGGCGGCGUCCCCCCCACCCCGGGGCUCCGAUUUUCAGGGAUUUUUUAAUUCCGCGUCGGACACGAGGCGGAGAUUCGCCGCUCUGGGGGUGGCGGGACCCCCACCCGGCCGCCCGGAGCGGGUUGGGGUGCCCCCAAAGCAGCUCGGACGGGGAUUUGGGCAGCCUGGUCUGGUCCUUACGCGCGUCGGGACCCCAACAGCUCAAAACGGGGACGGGGGGGUGUGCAGGGACCCCCCCACGCUGCCCUUCUGGCCGAUAGAGGCUGGGAGACCACGGCCCAAUUCCACCCCUUGGUGCCUCCCCGA